RNAcentral lists this ribosomal RNA (253 nucleotides) under uncultured bacterium. Its description in RNAcentral is "partial 16S ribosomal RNA". It matches the Rfam family "Bacterial small subunit ribosomal RNA", at positions 524 to 776 of the family's 1533-position model. The record is from RNAcentral.
UACGUAGGGUGCGAGCGUUGCCCGGAUUUAUUGGGCGUAAAGGGCGCGUAGGCGGCCACGCACGUCCGUUGUGAAAUCGCCCGGCUCAACUGGGCGGGGUCAGCGGAUACGGUGUGGCUCGAGCAAGCUAGGGGGCAAUGGAAUUGCCGGUGUAGUGGUGAAAUGCGUAGAGAUCGGCAGGAACACCCAGGGGGAAACCAGUCGACUGGGCAUCUACUGACGCUGAGGUGCGAGAGCGUGGGGAGCGAACCGG